This 253-nucleotide ribosomal RNA is filed under the name uncultured bacterium. Its description in RNAcentral is "partial 16S ribosomal RNA". It matches the Rfam family "Bacterial small subunit ribosomal RNA", at positions 524 to 776 of the family's 1533-position model. The record is from RNAcentral.
UACGUAGGGAGCAAGCGUUGUCCGGAUUUACUGGGUGUAAAGGGUGCGUAGGCGGCUUUGCAAGUCAGAUGUGAAAUCUAUGGGCUCAACCCAUAGCCUGCAUUUGAAACUGCAGAGCUUGAGUGAAGUAGAGGCAGGUGGAAUUCCCCGUGUAGCGGUGAAAUGCGUAGAGAUGGGGAGGAACACCAGUGGCGAAGGCGGCCUCCUGGGCUUUAACUGACGCUGAGGCACGAAAGCGUGGGUAGUAAACAGG